This 460-nucleotide ribosomal RNA is filed under the name uncultured bacterium. RNAcentral describes it as "partial 16S ribosomal RNA". It matches the Rfam family "Bacterial small subunit ribosomal RNA", at positions 338 to 795 of the family's 1533-position model. The record is from RNAcentral.
GCUACGGGAGGCUGCAGUGAGGAAUAUUGGUCAAUGGGCGCGAGCCUGAACCAGCCAAGUAGCGUGAAGGAUGACUGCCCUACGGGUUGUAAACUUCUGUUAUAAAGGAAUAAAGUGAGGCACGUGUGCCUUUUUGUAUGUACUUUAUGAAUAAGGAUCGGCUAACUCCGUGCCAGCAGCCGCGGUAAUACGGAGGAUCCGAGCGUUAUCCGGAUUUAUUGGGUUUAAAGGGAGAGUAGCUGGGUUGUUAAGUCAGUUGUGAAAGUUUGCGGCUCAAACGUAAAAUUGAAAUUGAUACUGGCAGCCUUGAGUACAGUUGAGGUAGGCGGAAUUCGUGGUGUAGCGGUGAAAUGCUUAGAUAUCACGAAGAACUCCGAUUGCGAAGGCAGCUUACUAAACUGCCACUGACAUUGAUGCUCGAAAGUGUGGGUAUCAAACAGGAUUAGAUACCCCUGUAGUC